This is a small nuclear RNA of Nycticebus coucang (slow loris), 107 nucleotides long. The record is from RefSeq and is a predicted model, not a curated record. NCBI's taxonomy places the organism in Eukaryota, Metazoa, Chordata, Mammalia, Primates, Lorisidae.
GUGCUCGCUUCGGCAGCACAUACACUAAAAUUGGAAUGCUACAGAGAAGAUUAGCAUGGCCCCUGUGCAAUGAUGACACGCAAAUUUGUGAAGCAUUCCAUAUUUUU